GACGAACGCUGGCGGCGUGCUUAACACAUGCAAGUCGAACGGAAAGGCCCUGCUUUUGUGGGUGCUCGAGUGGCGAACGGGUGAGUAACACGUGAGUAACCUGCCCUUGACUUUGGGAUAACUUCAGGAAACUGGGGCUAAUACCGGAUAGGAGCUCCUGCUGCAUGGUGGGGGUUGGAAAGUUUCGGCGGUUGGGGAUGGACUCGCGGCUUAUCAGCUUGUUGGUGGGGUAGUGGCUUACCAAGGCUUUGACGGGUAGCCGGCCUGAGAGGGUGACCGGCCACAUUGGGACUGCGAUACGGCCCAGACUCCUACGGGAGGCAGCAGUGGGGAAUAUUGCACAAUGGGCGGAAGCCUGAUGCAGCAACGCCGCGUGCGGGAUGACGGCCUUCGGGUUGUAAACCGCUUUCGCCUGUGACGAAGCGUGAGUGACGGUAAUGGGUAAAGAAGCACCGGCUAACUACGUG
Molecule: ribosomal RNA, 467 nt
Filed under: uncultured bacterium
Lineage: Bacteria
Description: partial 16S ribosomal RNA
Rfam family: Bacterial small subunit ribosomal RNA
Source: RNAcentral